UGGGUAUUAGCCAAGCGGUAAGGCAUAGGACUUUGACUCCUAGAUGCGUUGGUUCAAAUCCAACAUACCCAG
This 72-nucleotide transfer RNA is filed under the name Caudoviricetes sp. Its description in RNAcentral is "tRNA-Gln". It matches the Rfam family "tRNA". From Rfam's summary of the family: Transfer RNA (tRNA) molecules are approximately 80 nucleotides in length. Their secondary structure includes four short double-helical elements and three loops (D, anti-codon, and T loops). The record is from RNAcentral. Lineage: Duplodnaviria; Heunggongvirae; Uroviricota; Caudoviricetes.